ACAUGGAUAACUGUAGUAAUUCUAGAGCUAAUACAUGCAAAAAGUCCCGACUGACUUGUUGGAAGGGAUGUAUUUAUUAGGUACAAAAUCAAUAUCAACUUGAUGAUUCAUAAUAACUAUUCGAAGCGCAGAGUCCUAGUGGCGGCGCUGAUACAAACGAGUUUCUGCCCUAUCAACUUUCGAUGGUAGUAUAGGGGACUACCAUGGUGUUAACGGGUAACGGGGAAUUAGGGUUCUAUUCCGGAGAGGGGGCCUGAGAAAUGGCCACCACUUCCAAGGAAGGCAGCAGGCGCGCAAAUUACCCAAUCUCAAUUCGAGGAGGUAGUGACAAGAAAUACCGUUGAAGGACACUACGUGUACUUCAUUCGGAAUGAGAACAAUUUAAACACCUUAACGAGGAUCAAUUGGAGGGCAAGUCUGGUGCCAGCAGCCGCGGUAAUUCCAGCUCCAAUAGUGUAUAUUAUUGUUGCUGUAGUUAAAAAGCUCGUAGUUGGACUUCGAAAUGCGAUUGUCAAAGCCCGUCCAAGUGGCGUGGCUCGACUGAUUGCUUUCUGUCUUUGGGUAAUGGGCGUUGCUUCGGCGGCGUUUCCGUUCCUAAUUGUUUACUUUGAAAAAAUUAGCGCGUUCAAAGCAGGUGUAACUUUGCCUUGAAUAGUUUAGCAUGGGAUAAUAGAAUAGGACCACUGGCCUUAUUUUAUUGGUUUCUAAAGCUGGGGUAAUGAUUAAUAGGGACAGUUGGGGUCGGUCGUAUUGAAUCGUCAGAGGUGAAAUUCUAUGAUUGAUUCAAGAUGAACUGGUGCGAAAGCGUCCGACAAGGAUGUUUCCGUUAAUCAAGAACGAAAGUUGGGGGAUCGAAGAUGAUCAGAUACCGUCGUAGUCCUAACCAUAAACUAUGUGGACCAAGGAUCCGAGGAUUUUCCAUGGAUGACUCUCCGGGCACUUUGUGAGAAAUCAGAGUAUUUGCAUUCCGGGGGGAGUAUGGCCGCAAGACUGAAACUUAAAGGAAUUGACGGAAGGGCACCACCAGGAGUGGAAUCUGCGGCUUAAUUUGACACAACACGGGGAAACUCACCAGGUCCGGACACAGUAAGGAUUGACAGAUUGAGAGCUCUUUCUUGAUUCUGUGGGUGGUGGUGCAUGGCCGUUUUUAGUUGGUGGAUUGAUUUGUCUUGUUAAUUCAGAUAACGAGCGAGACCUCAUCCUGCUAAUUAGUGAUGUGAAUUUGGUUCCCGCAAGGGUUCCUAUCUGAUUCGUAGACUACUUCUUAGAGGGACUCUCGGCACU
This 1284-nucleotide ribosomal RNA is filed under the name metagenome. RNAcentral's name for it is "SSU rRNA". It matches the Rfam family "Eukaryotic small subunit ribosomal RNA", at positions 137 to 1430 of the family's 1831-position model. The record is from RNAcentral.